Molecule: long non-coding RNA, 577 nt
Organism: Hippocampus comes (tiger tail seahorse)
Lineage: Eukaryota; Metazoa; Chordata; Actinopteri; Syngnathiformes; Syngnathidae
Exons: 2
Source: RefSeq, a predicted model, not a curated record
UUUAUUGUAUGAACAAUAGCACAAACGUAACAUUUGUGCGCAUGCUGCUUAAAAAAGACGUUGUGGUUCUCUCAGACCAUGUGGUACCCUACGCAGUGAUGUGCCUGUCAGGAGCGGCGGCCCUUUUACGAGGUCUGUCUUCACAUGGACUCAAUAACUGUACAAUGUGAUGUCUGAGUGAAAGCGUGUGCAUUUGUGAGAGCAAGAAAGGCAGGCAGGCAGGCAGUAUCAUCUUCGGUGCGGAGGUGGGGGGCGGGGGGGGGCGUUUGGUCCUUGUGAAUGAGAGGCUAGCAUGACGUCAGCAAACCAAUGUCAACAAUGCAGCCCUUGGAAGAGAAAAGGCGUUACAUCCUAACACGAACAGAACGCCGUCCACGACGCGCCGAUUGAUGCUUUUACCCCAUAAAAAUAGCGAUUUUUGUUAUUCGAGGACAAGUGUGGAUUAACCAUCAUGCAGACGUACUUUUAUUUCUGAGAACCAACCGUGGGCGAGCAGCAAAAGGGUUGCGACUGGAAGUGAUGUCGGCAGGCGACGAGCAGGAGGGUGAGGCAGUAGUGCCUGUAUACGUGUACGAGU